AUGUCUAAGUAUAAGCAACUAUACGGUGAACCUGCGGANGGCUCAUUAAAUCAGUUAUCGUUUAUUUGAUAGUACCUUACUACAUGGAUAACCGUGGUAAUUCUAGAGCUAAUACAUGCUAAAAACCUCGACUUCGGAAGGGGUGUAUUUAUUAGAUAAAAAACCAAUGCCCUUCGGGGCUCCUUGGUGAAUCAUAAUAACUUAACGAAUCGCAUGGCCUUGCGCCGGCGAUGGUUCAUUCAAAUUUCUGCCCUAUCAACUUUCGAUGGUAGGAUAGUGGCCUACCAUGGUAUCAACGGGUAACGGGGAAUUAGGGUUCGACUCCGGAGAGGGAGCCUGAGAAACGGCUACCACAUCCAAGGAAGGCAGCAGGCGCGCAAAUUACCCAAUCCCGACACGGGGAGG
This 405-nucleotide ribosomal RNA is filed under the name Cladosporium sp. A03. RNAcentral's name for it is "SSU rRNA". It matches the Rfam family "Eukaryotic small subunit ribosomal RNA", at positions 55 to 464 of the family's 1831-position model. The record is from RNAcentral. Lineage: Eukaryota; Fungi; Ascomycota; Dothideomycetes; Cladosporiales; Cladosporiaceae.